UGGGGAAUAUUGCACAAUGGGCGCAAGCCUGAUGCAGCAACGCCGCGUGAGGGACGACGGCCUUCGGGUUGUAAACCUCUUUUAGUAGGGAAGAAGCGAAAGUGACGGUACCUGCAGAAAAAGCACCGGCUAACUACGUGCCAGCAGCCGCGGUAAUACGUAGGGUGCGAGCGUUGUCCGGAAUUAUUGGGCGUAAAGAGCUCGUAGGCGGUCUGUCGCGCCUGCUGUGAAAACCCGAGGCUCAACCUCGGGCCUGCAGUGGGUACGGGCAGACUAGAGUGCGGUAGGGGAGAAUGGAAUUCCUGGUGUAGCGGUGGAAUGCGCAGAUAUCAGGAGGAACACCGAUGGCGAAGGCAGUUCUCUGGGCCGUAACUGACGCUGAGGAGCGAAAGCGUGGGGAGCGAACAGGAUUAGAUACCCUGGUAGUCCACGCCGUAAACGUUGGGCGCUAGAUGUGGGGACCAUUCCACGGUUUCCGUGUCGCAGCUAACGCAUUAAGCGCCCCGCCUGGGGAGUACGGCCGCAAGGCUAAAACUUGAAAUGAAUUGACGGGGUCAUAGCU
RNAcentral lists this ribosomal RNA (562 nucleotides) under uncultured bacterium. RNAcentral describes it as "partial 16S ribosomal RNA". It matches the Rfam family "Bacterial small subunit ribosomal RNA", at positions 355 to 926 of the family's 1533-position model. The record is from RNAcentral.